CAAGAUUUGUUUUCAAAAUAACUAAUGGUUGUGUGCCCUUGGGCAAGUUACUUGACCUCACUGAGCCUCCUGGGUAAAGUGGACAUGAAGUAAAAAGAAGCAUUCCUUUCUAAACUUUGUUCCGUGUGAUUAGACUUUAUUCAACUCUUACUCCUCCAACCCUUGGAGACUUUCUACUUUGGAUCAAUCCAGCUACAUAUUUUGAUGGACCUAGACUACAGAUCAGAAUGGACUUGAACAUGAUGGCAAAGGUCAACAACCUUUCCAGUCUUCUGGAAUGCAAGAUGAACUGGUAAGACUAUGGUGAACUGGCGAACACAUGUUCACCUAAAGGAGGAAGUUGCUACUCAGCUCCAAGUGAUCAUGUCACAUGGAAAUAAAAGAGAACGGGUGAUAUGAGAAUGGGUAGACUGAG
This 415-nucleotide long non-coding RNA is filed under the name Callithrix jacchus (white-tufted-ear marmoset). RNAcentral describes it as "lncRNA (ENSCJAG00000086304.1)". The record is from RNAcentral. Lineage: Eukaryota; Metazoa; Chordata; Mammalia; Primates; Cebidae.